This 301-nucleotide ribosomal RNA is filed under the name uncultured bacterium. RNAcentral describes it as "partial 16S ribosomal RNA". It matches the Rfam family "Bacterial small subunit ribosomal RNA", at positions 509 to 809 of the family's 1533-position model. The record is from RNAcentral.
CAGCAGCCGCGGGAAUACGUAGGGUGCGAGCGUUAAUCGGAAUUACUGGGCGUAAAGCAUGCGCAGGCGGUCGUGUAAGACAGGUGUGAAAUCCCCGGGCUUAACCUGGGAACUGCGCUUGUGACUGCACAGCUAGAGUAUGGCAGAGGGGGGUGGAAUUCCACGUGUAGCAGUGAAAUGCGUAGAGAUGUGGAGGAACACCGAUGGCGAAGGCAGCCCCCUGGGCCAAUACUGACGCUCAUGCACGAAAGCGUGGGGAGCAAACAGGAUUAGAUACCCGGGUAGUCCCUGUCUCUUAUAU